GACCGGGGCUCGAACCCGCGUCCCCUGCAUCGGCAGGCAGACUCUCAACCACUGCGCCACCAGGGAAGCCCGCUAGGCCUUUCUUGAUCAGAGCAUGAACUUGACUGUGUUGUGGUCAGUUAUCUAUUGCCCACACUAUGCCACAGACCCUUGUGGGCAUGCACCAGCUCUUAUUCAACUUAAAUAGUACACAGCACAUAUUAGGUACUUAAGAACAAAUGAUAGUUGUGCAAAACAAAAAAAGGAGUAAUAAUGAUAUGGGAAUAAAGAGACAUGAAUCAAGCAGUGGCUAUUUAAAAGAACUCAGGGAUAAAUACUCAGUGCACUUAUUCUAAACAGCAAAGGCCCAGAUGCACUUGGUCACCAUCGCUCAAAGGAGGUUAGAAUUCUAAUUCCUUGGGCAGUGAUUUUUGACUUUUUUGCUCACUGCUGUGUCCUCAGAACUCAGAGCAGUAUGUGGUAUGGAAGGAGAUCAAUAAAUAUUUGCAGAAUGAGUAUAAGAAUGAAUGAGACACUCUUACUAGAACUGCUCAGUCACUGAAGGUUGAACCUAGGAAAUAUUCUGCAGCCCAGAAUUUACUCCACCACCUCUGCUAUUAACAAAAACAUCUAACAUUCACUGAGAGCUUACUAUAUGCCAGGUACUGUUUAAAAUGCUUACAUCAAUGAUUCCUUUUACUCUUCACAACAAACCUUUAAUGUAUGUGCUGUUUUACAAAAGAGGAGUGGAGACACAAUGGCCCAAGGUGACCCGGGUAGGAAAGAGAAGAGCCAGGCUUCAAACUCAAGCAGUCUGGCUCCAGAAUCUGGCUGUGGCCAACACACACAGAGAAAAAUGGCUGUGCUUGUCCUGCCUGAGCUUGGAGAUCUCAUUUGGUUGAUUGAACCUGUCUGACUUUAGUCAAAUACAGAAACAUGAAAACUUGGCCAGUAUAUCUCUGUUGACUCUUGUUUUUUUUAAGUCCAGCUGCCUAAUUUAUUAAGAAUAGCACAAGUUUUCUGGGCCUAGGGAACUUCACCACAGGAUGCUCCCCAGGUUACCUGUGGCAGUCACAGCUGCGUCCCUGUGGCACGCAGCAUCUCACCCUUCAGAAUUGUUCUUAAAACACUUGAGAUGUUGGAGGAAAGAUGUCCAUAACAGGUCCAAAUGGAUUUUGGGAAGGGAUCCGUAAAUACAAUAUAGAAUUCACCACUGGAUGGCUGGAAAAUUACUCUACUGAAAUGAAUGGAUAAUAAUAAUAACUUCUAAGCUCUGACCACCUACUACAUUCCAAGCACUCUCUAAGUCCUUACUAUAUAUCAUCUAUUCAUUUCAUCUUCCCAGGGACUCUUGUGAGGUAGGAAUUAUUACCCACUUUACAGAUGCGAGGGUAUGUUCAGAAAGGCUGAGAAACUUGACUAGGGUCACACAGUUGGUAGCUGUUAGAGCCGAGAUUUGAAUCCAGUUCCUUCUAACUCCAAAGCCUGUGUCUUGCCACCUUCCAGCCUACAUGGCUUCCCCACAUGUGCUAGAAUAAUGGCUGCACAUGAUUAUUAAUGAAGUCAUUAUUAUUCAUGACUAUCAAAUCCUUCAGUUGCCUGCCAAGAACUUUACUGUAAAACCUCCAAAUUGCGUUUUAUUUUUCAGUCUAUAUAGCUUCUGCUCAAGAUAAUCAGGCAACAAAACCUCCAAAGUAAAAAGAAAUAAUGAGAAAGAAACGGCUGAAAUCAGGACUCUAUUGCUAUAACAGAUGAAGCUGGACAUGUUUAUUCUGGAAGAAAAUGGUGAAGAAGGGGCGAUACUGCUAUAUCAGGGAACCCAGGACAGACCCACAAAUAACGGCAUAGGAAUGGAAUGCAUGCGGAAGAGGGUCAGGUGAAACAAGAAAGGCAGAAAGUUAAUGGUUGUUGAAACUGAGCUGUAGACACAUGGGAGGUCCUUGUACUCGUCAAUCUACUUUUUUGUGUGCUUGAAAAUUUCCAUUAAAGAAAAAAGUCAUGGGC
Aethalodelphis obliquidens (Pacific white-sided dolphin) is the source of this 1983-nucleotide long non-coding RNA. RefSeq lists it as uncharacterized. Lineage: Eukaryota; Metazoa; Chordata; Mammalia; Artiodactyla; Delphinidae. The record is from RefSeq and is a predicted model, not a curated record. The transcript is spliced from 2 exons.